This 301-nucleotide ribosomal RNA is filed under the name uncultured bacterium. Its description in RNAcentral is "partial 16S ribosomal RNA". It matches the Rfam family "Bacterial small subunit ribosomal RNA", at positions 509 to 807 of the family's 1533-position model. The record is from RNAcentral.
CAGCAGCCGCGGGAAUACGAAGGGGGCUAGCGUUGUUCGGAUUUACUGGGCGUAAAGGGUGCGUAGGCGGAUUGUUAAGUCAGGGGUGAAAUCCCGAGGCUCAACCUCGGAACUGCCUUUGAUACUGGCGAUCUUGAGUCCGGGAGAGGUGAGUGGAACUGCGAGUGUAGAGGUGAAAUGCGUAGAUAUUUGCAAGAACACCGGUGGCGAAGGCGGCUCACUGGCCCGGAACUGACGCUGAGGCACGAAAGCGUGGGGAGCAAACAGGAUUAGAUACCCGCGUAGUCCCUGUCUCUUAUAC